UACAGAGGUCCCAAGCGUUGUUCGGAUUCAUUGGGCGUAAAGGGUGCGUAGGCGGCGCGGUAAGUCGGGUGUGAAAUCUCGGGGCUUAACUCCGGAACUGCAUUCGAUACUGCCGUGCUUGAGGACUGGAGAGGAGACUGGAAUUUACGGUGUAGCGGUGAAAUGCGUAGAUAUCGUAAGGAAGACCAGUGGCGAAGGCGGGUCUCUGGACAGUUCCUGACGCUGAGGCACGAAGGCCAGGGGAGCAAACGGG
RNAcentral lists this ribosomal RNA (253 nucleotides) under uncultured bacterium. RNAcentral describes it as "partial 16S ribosomal RNA". It matches the Rfam family "Bacterial small subunit ribosomal RNA", at positions 524 to 776 of the family's 1533-position model. The record is from RNAcentral.